AACGAACGCUGGCGGCAUGCUUAACACAUGCAAGUUGAACGCAGAAUAGGACUUCGGUUCUAUUGCUGAGUAGCAAACGGGUGAGUAACGCGUGGGAAUCUACCUUUUUGUGGGGGAUAACUGAGGGAAACUUCAGCUAAUACCGCAUAAGCUCUACGGAGGAAAGGCUUCGGCCGCAAGAAGAGGAGCCCGCGUCAGAUUAGGUAGUUGGUAGGGUAAAAGCCUACCAAGCCAAUGAUCUGUAGCUGGUCUGAGAGGAUGAUCAGCCACACUGGGACUGAGACACGGCCCAGACUCCUACGGGAGGCAG
Molecule: ribosomal RNA, 310 nt
Filed under: uncultured Pseudomonadota bacterium
Lineage: Bacteria; Pseudomonadati; Pseudomonadota
Description: bacterial SSU rRNA
Rfam family: Bacterial small subunit ribosomal RNA
Source: RNAcentral